RNAcentral lists this transfer-messenger RNA (401 nucleotides) under Muribaculaceae bacterium. It matches the Rfam family "transfer-messenger RNA". From Rfam's summary of the family: Bacterial tmRNA, also known as 10Sa RNA or SsrA, is named for its dual tRNA and mRNA-like properties. Its role is to liberate the mRNA from a stalled ribosome. The record is from RNAcentral. Lineage: Bacteria; Pseudomonadati; Bacteroidota; Bacteroidia; Bacteroidales; Muribaculaceae.
GGGGCUGACCGGUUUUGACAGCGUGCCGAGGUGGUGUGUAAGCGUGCAGAGCAAUGAUGCCUACGCUCUUAAAUCAGAGACAUCAGCACUUUUAAAUGGCGAAACUGAAUACGCUUACGCUGCUUAAUCGAAGUACAGUAGAUUAGCUUCAUCGCUGCAAAAGUUGCGGCGACGUAACAUCGCCCAAGUGCCCAACGUCCCGAGGCUACUUGAUACGGCGGUGCAGAAAUAUCGGGAAUAGGAGAGACUGCGCCUUGAGGCCUCUCCGAAACUUUAAAGGCUAAGGGACAGAUUGGCCGUCAGUUGCCUGUCUGUUCACAAAAACCAAUAGCUGAAUACGCACGUAGAAAGCACAUUAGUUCCGCGUUUGGACGAGGGUUCAAAUCCCUCCAGCUCCACUU